This 425-nucleotide ribosomal RNA is filed under the name uncultured bacterium. RNAcentral describes it as "bacterial SSU rRNA". It matches the Rfam family "Bacterial small subunit ribosomal RNA", at positions 354 to 796 of the family's 1533-position model. The record is from RNAcentral.
GUGGGGAAUCUUGGACAAUGGGCGAAAGCCUGAUCCAGCCAUGCCGCGUGAGUGAAGAAGGCCUUAGGGUUGUAAAGCUCUUUCGGCGGGGACGAUAAUGACGGUACCCGCAGAAGAAGCCCCGGCUAACUCCGUGCCAGCAGCCGCGGUAAUACGGAGGGGGCUAGCGUUGUUCGGAAUUACUGGGCGUAAAGCGCACGUAGGCGGACUGUUAAGUCGGGGGUGAAAUCCUGGGGCUCAACCUCAGAAUUGCCCUCGAUACUGGCAGCCUUGAGUACGGGAGAGGUGAGUGGAAUUCCCAGUGUAGAGGUGAAAUUCGUAGAUAUUGGGAAGAACACCAGUGGCGAAGGCGGCUCACUGGCCCGUAACUGACGCUGAGGUGCGAAAGCGUGGGGAGCAAACAGGAUUAGAUACCCUUGUAGUCC